RNAcentral lists this ribosomal RNA (440 nucleotides) under uncultured bacterium. Its description in RNAcentral is "partial 16S ribosomal RNA". It matches the Rfam family "Bacterial small subunit ribosomal RNA", at positions 338 to 795 of the family's 1533-position model. The record is from RNAcentral.
CCUACGGGUGGCAGCAGUGGGGGAUAUUGGACAAUGGGGGAAACCCUGAUCCAGCGAUGCCGCGUGAGGGAAGAAGGUUUUCGGAUUGUAAACCUCUGUGGAGGGGGACGAUAAUGACGGUACCCCUUUAGGAAGCCACGGCUAACUACGUGCCAGCAGCCGCGGUAAUACGUAGGUGGCAAGCGUUAUCCGGAUUUACUGGGUGUAAAGGGCGUGUAGGCGGGAGAGCAAGUCAGACGUGAAAUUCCAGGGCUCAACCCUGGAACUGCGUUUGAAACUGUUCUUCUUGAGUGAUGGAGAGGCAGGCGGAAUUCCGUGUGUAGCGGUGAAAUGCGUAGAUAUACGGAGGAACACCAGUGGCGAAGGCGGCCUGCUGGACAUUAACUGACGCUGAGGCGCGAAAGCGUGGGGAGCAAACAGGAUUAGAUACCCGAGUAGUC